This is a long non-coding RNA of Megalobrama amblycephala (Wuchang bream), 1459 nucleotides long. RefSeq lists it as uncharacterized. The transcript is spliced from 2 exons. NCBI's taxonomy places the organism in Eukaryota, Metazoa, Chordata, Actinopteri, Cypriniformes, Xenocyprididae. The record is from RefSeq and is a predicted model, not a curated record.
AUCCUUUAUUGGUUACAUAACGUGUGUCCCCUCUGCGGACAGUAGCUAAAGGAGGCGUGAACACAAUAACAACACUGUGUCUAUCUUUAUUGAUAAUACAUAACCACCCUUGGCAGAGCCAUAAAGCGGAGAAAAACGAAGAGAACCGAACGACGCCGAAACAAAUAUAUCUGACUGCGGCUGCGUCGCUUUCAUUUUGUCUACACAACAGCAAAGAUUAUUCAGCGACUCUUCUUCCUUGUGUUUUAAAAUCGAUUGAUAUCAGCACAAAUGAUCGAGACGCAUAAAGGGAAGAGCUGCGUGGUUUAUUUGAUCAAUUUCGUCUCCAGGAUUUCAGAGCCACAUCACCAAACAUCCCGGAAACAGAAACUCAGCGCUGUGAUUGGACCACGCAUGGGAGUGUGUGAAAACAACAAGUGACUCUGUGAGGCGCAAAUACUGUACACCAAGGGACCGUCAACAAAUAUAAAACGUAAAAUCAAAAUGUAAGGACUAAGUAGGCAUGGUUGCUUGCAAAAGAUAAUAGGAAGCAAUUACAAAUCAUAUUCUUGGUUUGGAGUUACUUAAUGGUUCAAAACAGAAUGGGAGGACAUGAUUUAAAGCUUAACAUGCUUAUUAAUUACGGAAAACAGUUGGGACGCAGUCUCAUUCUGUUGGCACACUACACCACAGUGUUUGUAAUCUUUGUAUCUCGCUCUGUGAACUGUUUUGUGGAAGUGAUCAAGUGGAUGUCGAUGUUUGCCAGAUACACAGUAGAGGUAUUUGAAUCCAUUCAUAGGAGCCUAAACUGGUGGACCAGAAGAUGCAGUAGGACGUCCAUAGAAAUGCUCUCCAGCAGCGACACAGAAUCGGAAUGAGAAAGGACAAUAUGAACUCAAAGAAUGAUGUUUCUGGCAAAAAAAUGAAGAACCCAUGGAUCUUAAAUGGAGUUAUAGACUCCAAGGAGAACAAUACCAUUGCAUCCGUACAUACUGUACAUCUCAAUUUUCUGUUCACUUCAAAGGGCUCACUGAAAGCAAUGAGGUUAAGGGAGAGUCCACCACUGUGUUAUAACCAUGCCUGAUAGACUGAAGACUGAACUCGACACCUGUUUUUCAAGUCUAAACCAGUAUUUACUGGAAUGAAAAACAAUGCAAAAAAGUUAAGAUAAGUAAAUCUUACUUUAUUUUGCCUCACAGUUAAUCCUAAACAGUGUUGUUUUGCCCAAACAAGUUCUUUUUAAAUCAUCCACUGAAUGCAGUUUAGCAGUGAGGGAGAUGAGCCUAAAAUUACUAUUAGCACUUAUGUGUCUGAUUGGACAUUAUAUGGUUGGAGCAGUUGUAUGUUGCUUUAAAUAAUAAUAGUAAAAUGUAUCCUGAAACAAGUGGGACUUGUAUCAUCAGUAGCAGAGAAAACUCAGAUACUCUCGCACAGGGGUCCUCAAGAUCAACUUUCCUGCAGAGAUUAGCUCCAACCUGGA